UGGCUCAGGACGAACGCUGGCGGCGUGCUUAACACAUGCAAGUCGAGCGGUAAGGCCCUUCGGGGUACACGAGCGGCGAACGGGUGAGUAACACGUGAGCAAUCUGCCCUUCACUUCGGGAUAACCCCCGGAAACGGGAGCUAAUACCGGAUACGACCACUUCAGGCAUCUGAUGGUGGUGGAAAGUUCUGGCGGUGGAGGAUGAGCUCGCGGCCUAUCAGCUUGUUGGUGGGGUAGUGGCCCACCAAGGCUUCGACGGGUAGCCGGCCUGAGAGGGUGACCGGCCACACUGGGACUGAGACACGGCCCAGACUCCUACGGGAGGCAGCAGUGGGGAAUAUUGGACAAAUGGGCGAAAGCCUGAUCCAAGCAACGCCGCGUGUAGGGAAAUGACGCGUCUUACGGGGGUUGGUAAAACUUCUUUACAGCGCAGUAACGAAUCGCAAUAUGUGAACGUUAUCCGCCAAAAAAGUCAACCCGGGCCCAAAUUUAACGUG
RNAcentral lists this ribosomal RNA (497 nucleotides) under uncultured bacterium. RNAcentral's name for it is "bacterial SSU rRNA". It matches the Rfam family "Bacterial small subunit ribosomal RNA", at positions 20 to 529 of the family's 1533-position model. The record is from RNAcentral.